UACGGAGGGUGCGAGCGUUAAUCGGAAUUACUGGGCGUAAAGCGCGCGUAGGCGGUUGCUUUAGUCGGAUGUGAAAGCCCCGGGCUUAACCUGGGAACUGCAUCCGAUACUGGGCAACUAGAGUACGAGAGAGGGGGGUAGAAUUCCACGUGUAGCGGUGAAAUGCGUAGAUAUGUGGAGGAAUACCAGUGGCGAAGGCGGCCCCCUGGCUUGAUACUGACGCUGAGGUGCGAAAGCGUGGGGAGCAAACAGG
Molecule: ribosomal RNA, 253 nt
Filed under: uncultured bacterium
Lineage: Bacteria
Description: partial 16S ribosomal RNA
Rfam family: Bacterial small subunit ribosomal RNA
Source: RNAcentral